GGCCGCUCCCGCGGCAUAUGGAGGUUCCCAGGCUAGGGGUCGAAUCGGAGCUGUAGCCACCAGCCUAUGCCAGAGCCACAGCAACGCAGGAUCCGAGCCACGUCUGCAACCUACACCACAGCUCACGGCAACACUGGAUCGUUAACCCACUGAGCAAGGGCAGGUACCGAACCCGCAACUUCGUGGUUCCUAGUCGGAUUCGUUAACCACUGCGCCACGACGGGAACUCCGUAACUCUUUUUUAGUAGUGAAAUGUUUAUCACAAUUUUUUUCAAAAAUAGACUUUAUCAUGUAAAAUUGAUACAGCAGAGUUGUUCUGGUUAAAGAUCCAUGUACGUGUGCCCACCUGUGUAUGUAUCCACAUCUGUGUGUGUCUGUGUCUGUGUAUCUGUAUGCUCUGUAUGCUUGUGUGUUGUGUCCGUCUAUGUAUAAAUGCGUUUGUUUAUACGUGUGUGGUGUAUAUGUGGCUAUGAGGCUGUGGGUGUAUGUAUGUGUAUUUGUGUGGUAUGUAUGUCUGUGGGUCUAUAUCAGCUUGACUAUAUUUGUGUCUGUAUAACUAUGUCUACAUUUCUGGGGAUUAUAUUGUGGUCUAAUUUGCAUUUAUGUGUGUCUAUAAGUGUGCGGUAUAUAUGAUGUAUUCAUGUGUAUAUGUAUGCGUCUGUGUGUUCUUCAUGUAACACAUAUAUAUGUCUACCUGUGGGUUUGUAUAAAUCUGUACAUGCAUGUAUGUGUAAGUCUGCGGGUAUGUCUGUGUGGCUAUAUGUGUGUAUAUAUUUGUGUUUGUGUGGUUGGGAGCAGGAAGGGGGCAAAGCUACCACUCUCCGAUUCCGUACUUUGUGCACAUCAGGAAGAGUUGCCCUCUCUGCUGGGGCACUCCACAGGCACAGAGCUUGGGUAGCAGAGUUGGGACUGGAUUCCAGCCUCCAUCAGCACUCUCAUCUGGCAUCCUGCAGAAGAAAACACCUUGGCAGGGGAGGAGGGCAUUUUGGAAGGGCUGGGAGUCCAUUCGCUCUCAUCUUUGUUAUGCAGGGACCUUCCCAAAGGAUUCAGUCUGAAAACUACCCAAACCAGUGUUCUCUGAUGGUUUCCAAAUGCCAUGAUUCUAGAGAAGUACAUGGCAGCAUUCCUCUAACUGACAUCCACAUACUGUACAGGCUCCAGGGGCAACCUCUGACUCAGCCCCUGAGGCCUUGAUCAUGAACUUCCAGCAGGCUGACUCCCAGUCCUUCUUUGGCCUUGUCAUCAUCUCUCUGCCCUGGACUCUCUUCUUCCACCUGUUUCCACACUGUAGAAAAACACUCAUUGGAGUUUAGGGUUGCACAUUGUUGUCAUGGCUCAUCGCAUAGUUUGCACUUUUGUUAAAAUGACUCAUGGCCAAGAGGCUGUGGGGUUGUGAUUGGGCCGUGUCAGGGGAGAAGGUCAUAGGUAGUGUACAACUCGUCAGGACAGUGAGGUCUUAGAACUGCGGAGUGGGUGAGCAGCUCACACCUGUAAGAGAAAACUGGUGCUGCAGGUUGAAAUCAGUGAAAUUAUUAGGACCUGCACUCAUUUGAAGCCUUUUAUCCAAUGUGAGCAUUUUUUCCAACUUUAGCUUAUCAGCAGAAACUCCCUCUUCAGCAGUUUGGCCUGUGGCAUCUUUCAACAGAUGACUUCUGGCAAGUUGCUCAGCUUUUGUGAGUCUCCGUUCCUUCAGCAGAAACCCCUACUUGCUCACGUGGGUGGUGGGAGGAAUCACUGUGACACUGCACAUGGCGGUGCAGAUUCAGUGUCCAGUAAGUGUUAGCACAGUCUUUCCUUUCCCUUUGUACCUGUACCCUCUCUCUUUCUCACCAUAGGGUGCCCCCAGCACUUUCUCUGUGCUUUAGUAUAAUACCAUCCAGCUGUGGAGCAGCACUGAGCAACUAUUUAGUAUCCAGUAGAUGUUGGGUAACUGAAGAGAUGAAGGCAGGCAGGCAGGAAGAGGGCAAGAGACAAAGUAAGCUGGAACAUUCCCCCAUCUUUGGAAAUGAGCUGCUGGCAUCCCUUAGAGACGAGAGUCUGUAAAAUAUGGCUCUAGGUGGUAGGGAGGAUGGGGAGCUCAACGGCCUUUCCAGUCAGUGGUUUCCCCUUACUGACCAUCUGUUGGGUCUCCAGUGAACUAUUUCAGUUAUUUUCUUCCUAAGAUGACAGUGUGGAUUUGGAAGAGAGAGACUGUGCAUGUAGUGGCACCUGUUCCUGCCAGAGUAUCAAGUUUAAGGGGAGGCUUAAAGGAGUCUAAGUUGAGAAAGAAAGGAAGACAGAAGAAAACAAGUUUGACUAGGAGUGAAGGACCCAGGAGGGAGGUAAGGGCUGUUACUGCCAUAAUUAGAUGACGAUGACAUACCUAUUACUACAGACCACUGUGCUAGUUGCUGAGAUGGUAAAGGAGAAGGCCUGGAGCUUGCCCUCCAUAGGCUUCUGAUCCAGGGAAUGGAACUGCGUAGAAGACGAAGAAGGAUGGAGCACUUACCAUCUGUUCAGUACCAGGGCACAUGUUUUAAGAUAUAGCUCAAGAAAUAAAUGUAUUUCUUCAAAGAAACUAUAGAGGGGUUAGGCAAUGUUUUCCAGGUCACUCAGCAAACAAGUGGGACAGAGAAGAACCCGGCUCUGUCUGCUCUAAUGACCUUGUGCUGCUCACAGGACUGCGAGCAAGGGCAACAGGGCAAGCAUGUAAAAAAGGAGCAUUAACUUUACAAGGUGUCCCAGGGUCAGCAGCACAUGAGUAAUGCAUGACGAUGAUUGCAGAAGCUUAGGAAACAAGAGAUGUGUUGAGGUUCCAGAGAGAAGGGGGCCCUCAACUAGACACCGAAGGCAGACCGUGAACCCAACAAAGGAAGCAUGGAGAGAGAGAAGCUCUCCAGGUGGAAGGAGGCAUAGUGUGUGCCAAGGUAGGAGGUGGGCUGUGCAGUGUGGCAGAGAGUGUAGCCUGCUCCGAACUUACUAAUAGUGUAGCCUUAGGCCAGUCCCUGAGUCUCUCUAAGCCUCAGUUUCUCUGUCUGUACAAUGGUCAUCAUAGCGGCCACUUUACAAGUUUACUGAAGACCUGAGACUACGUAAAGCAUCUGGUUCCUCAGAAUCACCAAUCUAAGUUAGACCUCAAUCUGCAUCACGCUCCUUCUCGCAUAGUAUCUGAUUUCCCUUCAUACUGCAAUUGCGUCCAUUAUAUAUUGGCAGGCUGAUUUUCUGAAUGUCUGUUCACGACUGUCAGUUUUACGACAACAUGGACAAUACCUGCUCUUCUCAACAUCAUCUCUUUAGUGCCUAGAAUGGUAGGCACUCAAGAAAUCUGUGAGUGAAUACCUAAAUGUCUGAAUGAAUAAAUGAAUUCAUGAAUAAAUGGAUAAGCAUACUUAUUUCUGUGCCAUGACUCUUAAGAAUCUCAGGGAAACUUCUCUCUGGUGAGGGGGACAGGUGUUAAUGUAGGAAGAGCAGAGAAUCAGAAAAUGCAGUUAGAAUAUUGGAGGGCCUCCAGGGGCCACCAGGGAAAGCAGCAGGUCUCCUCUCUGCCUCCUGGUGCUGCAUGGAACAGUCUCUGAGCAGGAAGGAAAUUACACAAACUUCCAGUUCAGCUGGUUCCAGGGUUUCACAACCCAGCUCUUUCUUUCUCGCUCAAAUCUGAUGUGCUAAUUCACUGGUGUAAUGUCUGACCUGUCUACUGGACAAUGACUCUGCGUGAUCCCCAUGCUGCCUUGCAAUAACCCUGAGUGGACGUCUAGAUUUUCCAAUAAAUUAGUCUUUGAAUCCAAUGCCACACAAUAACACUUUAUGGUGAGUUGGGGAGGAGGAGCAGGGAUAAACAGAUGCAAUAAAACUACUAGGCAUUUGAUAUGUUCUUGGAGUUCCACGAUAGAGGUAAGGAGAGGGAACUGAAGGAUACAAAGGAGGCUAUCUGGCCCUGCCUAAGGUGAAACAGUGUAGUCACAGUUGGAUAACAUUUAUAGCUUUCAAAAUAUAGGUGUUUUGUCUUUUUGGGUGUGUGUGUGUGUGUUCACUUAUGGCACGUGGAGGUUCCCAGGCUAGGGGUCAAAUGAGAGCUGUAGCCACUGGCUUAUACCACAGCCACAGCAACACCAGAUCGAGCCACAUCUGCGACCCACACCACAGCUCAUGGCAAUGCCCGAUCCUUAACCCACUGAGUGAGGUCAGGGAUCAAACCCAAGUCCUCAUGGAUACUAGUCAGAUUCAUCUGCCACUGAACCAUGAUGGGAACUCCUCAAAAUACAAUUAUGCAUACCAUAUCAUUUUAGUCUCCCUGUAGCCAUGGAAAAUGGAGGUAUGGAUAACAUUUGCAUUAUUUGCUCCCGAUAUCUAGGAAAACCGAGGCAUGAGGGAUUGGUUCAGGAUAUAGAUCUGGUUUGAGUCAGGCAGACAUGAACUCACAGCCCGGAUCUCGUGAUUACCAGUUUAGGGAUCUUUCUUUCUUCUGGACCUCACUGUCACACACUGGCCUUUAUAUUGUAUUGAUCAACAGGGUGAGGGUGCCUGCAAUGUCACAACCCCCACCCCCCAUCUUCUGUACUGUAUUUGCCAUGAACUUUUGUGAUGGAAUGUCAGAAUCUAAUAAAUUACGGGAUGGCCAGCCAAGGCCCACUGGGCUACAGGGGCCAUUGCUUUUGUAAAGCUGUGUGAAACACAGUCACAACCACUCAUUUCCUUUUAUCUAUGGCUGUUCUUGCCCUAUCAAGGCAGAGGUGAAUAGGUGCAACAGAAACUGUAUGACUCACAAAGUCUAAAAUAUUUACUAUUUGGUUCUAAUACAAAAAGUUUGUCAGCUCCUAGAAUAAAUGAAUGGAAAAGAAGCACAUGGAAGAAAAAUAGAGUCGUUCAUUCACAAUAGGCAGCGGGUAGAACUAAAAAAGAGAAUGAGGAUCAGCAAAAGAAUCACGUCUCUGUCACUUGGUCGACUUUGAACAAGUCAUUUAUACUCUCUGGGUCUGUUUCUGUAUCUAUCCCCUUAUAGAAGUACUGUAGGAUUUCCAUGAGGUAAUGUGUAUGUAUCAGAAAUAAUGAGGUUUAGCCCCACGGGACAGAAAACACAAACUUAGUGUGUUGCACAAGACCGCUAUUUCUUUCUUAAGAUGUGGAAGUGGGCAGUGGUGUUGGUUUGGUGCUUCCUGGUGUUAGGAACUCGAGCCCAUGCACCUUGGGUGUUUCUCUGUGGUUUUCAUUUCUGAAACUCUUUCAUGGCCCAAGAUGGCUGCUGGAGCUCCAGCCACUUCUCUAUUAUUGCUAUUACUACUACUGAUAGCAUGAUAAUAAGAGGAAACAAACCAAAAUCAAAUACAAACAUAUAUA
RNAcentral lists this long non-coding RNA (5313 nucleotides) under Sus scrofa (pig). RNAcentral's name for it is "lncRNA (ENSSSCG00000059120.1, ENSSSCG00105038740.1)". The record is from RNAcentral. Lineage: Eukaryota; Metazoa; Chordata; Mammalia; Artiodactyla; Suidae.